GUCCCUGUAGCGCAAUGGAUAGCACGUUGGACUUCUAAUCCAAAGGUCUUGGUUUCAAUUACCACCUGGGAUG
Trichonephila clavipes is the source of this 73-nucleotide non-coding RNA. The record is from the annotation of a GenBank genome assembly. NCBI's taxonomy places the organism in Eukaryota, Metazoa, Arthropoda, Arachnida, Araneae, Nephilidae.